RNAcentral lists this ribosomal RNA (489 nucleotides) under uncultured microorganism. RNAcentral's name for it is "bacterial SSU rRNA". It matches the Rfam family "Bacterial small subunit ribosomal RNA", at positions 9 to 465 of the family's 1533-position model. The record is from RNAcentral.
GAGUUUGAUCAUGGCUCAGAGCGAACGCUGGCGGCGUGCCUAAGCCAUGCAAGUCGAACGCGGUCCCGAAUUUGUUUCACUUCGGUGGAACUGUUCGGGAUGCGGCGUGGCGAACGGGUGAGUAACGCGUGGGUAACCUACCCUCGGGGUGGGGGAUAACCCGGGGAAACCCGGGACAAUCCCGCAUAACAUCCAGUCACAUAAGUGGCUGGAUCAAAGGGGGCCUCUGCUUUGCAUGCUCCCGCCUGAGGAGGGGCCCGCGUCCUAUCAGGUAGUUGGUGGGGUAACGGCCCACCAAGCCUACGACGGGUAGCCGGUGUGAGAGCAUGGCCGGCCACACUGGGACUGAGACACGGCCCAGACUCCUACGGGAGGCAGCAGGCGGGAAUCGUGGACAAUGGGCGCAAGCCUGAUCCCGCGACGCCGCGUGGGGGAAGAAGGCCUUCGGUCGUAACCCCGUCGUCAGGGAGGACGAAGUCUCGUUGGGUG